UAGGGAAUCUUCCACAAUGGACGCAAGUCUGAUGGAGCAACGCCGCGUGAGUGAAGAAGGUUUUCGGACCGUAAAGCUCUGUUGUUGGUGAAGAAGGAUAGAGGUAGUAACUGGCCUUUAUUUGACGGUAAUCAACCAGAAAGUCACGGCUAACUACGUGCCAGCAGCCGCGGUAAUACGUAGGUGGCAAGCGUUGUCCGGAUUUAUUGGGCGUAAAGCGAGCGCAGGCGGAAGAAUAAGUCUGAUGUGAAAGCCCUCGGCUUAACCGAGGAAUUGCAUCGGAAACUGUUUUCUUGAGUGCAGAAGAGGAGAGUAGAACUCCAUGUGUAGCGGUGGAAUGCGUAGAUAUAUGGAAGAAUACCAGUGGCGAAGGCAGCUCUCUGGUCUGCAACUGACGCUGAGGCUCGAAAGCAUGGGUAGCGAACAGGAUUAGAUACCCUGGUAGUCCAUGCCGUAAACGAUGAGUGCUAAGUGUUGGGAGGCUUCCGCCUCUCAGUGCUGCAGCUAACGCAUUAAGCACUCCGCCUGGGGGAGUACGACCGCAAGGUUGAAAC
Molecule: ribosomal RNA, 554 nt
Filed under: uncultured bacterium
Lineage: Bacteria
Description: partial 16S ribosomal RNA
Rfam family: Bacterial small subunit ribosomal RNA
Source: RNAcentral